GCAAAAAAGAUCGCGUUGAAGUUGGUUAUAAGUGAAUUUCGUCAUCUGAAUAGCUAAAUAAUCAUUUGGCAAAGGUAAGGAAGAGGUGAAAAUGGAGCAUUAGUCACUGAGCCCAUGGACGAAGAUAAUGAUAUCAGUUCCAUUUUUUAUGUUGGGAAAGCACCAACUGCUCAUAGAGGAAUGUCUGGUUAUAUAUGCAGCUGCAGGGGAGGCUCCUGCUUAGUCACAUCCCUUUGCCCCCUCAGCUAAACUCCCGUUGACGAUGAAGACUUUUUUUAUCUGCAUGACUUGUUCACAGAUCAGACGUUCUGAUUUGGUGGAGGAAAAGCUGUUCAUGUUGAUAUUAGUUGCUCACAACCAGAUAGGUUGUUAACGUUGAUACUGCACUUAGGUUUUUGCAGACUUAUUACAUUAUGUUAGACAGUAUUGCUAUUCUUUAA
Solanum tuberosum (potato) is the source of this 440-nucleotide long non-coding RNA. RefSeq lists it as uncharacterized. The record is from RefSeq and is a predicted model, not a curated record. The transcript is spliced from 2 exons. NCBI's taxonomy places the organism in Eukaryota, Viridiplantae, Streptophyta, Magnoliopsida, Solanales, Solanaceae.